Molecule: ribosomal RNA, 253 nt
Filed under: uncultured bacterium
Lineage: Bacteria
Description: partial 16S ribosomal RNA
Rfam family: Bacterial small subunit ribosomal RNA
Source: RNAcentral
UACGUAGGGGGCAAGCGUUGUCCGGAAUCAUUGGGCGUAAAGAGCGUGUAGGCGGCUUCGUCAGUCCGUUGUGAAAGUCCAGGGCUCAACCCGGGAACUGCGUCUGAUACUGGCAGGCUUGAAUCCGGGAGAGGGAUGUGGAAUUCCAGGUGUAGCGGUGAAAUGCGUAGAUAUCUGGAGGAACACCGGUGGCGAAGGCGGCAUCCUGGACCGACACUGACACUGAGGAGCGAAAGCCAGGGGAGCAAACGGG